CAAAAUUGAAAACCCAAAGCCAAAAUCCCUAAUCUCUAUUCUCCUUCUCCAAAAUCUUCGAAGAAGUGAAGGCUGAAGAGUGAAGAACUGAAGAUUGAAGAACCCUCCACCGCCACUCCCAACCAUCAGCUCCACUCCCAAUCUAUUCUCCACUCUCCAACAUUGAAGCAGCUUCUGCAUACAACGGAUCAGAGGACGCCGUGAAGAACACCCGACGUUCGGCCACCUUCGGGCACCGUCGCCGACGUCCGCGCACCGUCGCGCACCGUCGCCCACGCUCGCGCACCUGGGUUUCUGGGUUUCUCCGUUUCUGGCUUCUAGGUUUCUCCGCUUCUGGGUUUCUGGAUUUCUGGGUUUAGGGCUUCUGGGUUUGUGGCUUCUGUUCGUGGCUUCGUGCUGUGUUGUUUUCUGGCUUUUCUU
RNAcentral lists this long non-coding RNA (420 nucleotides) under Arachis ipaensis. RNAcentral's name for it is "long non-coding RNA (AIPA_LNC002243)". Lineage: Eukaryota; Viridiplantae; Streptophyta; Magnoliopsida; Fabales; Fabaceae. The record is from RNAcentral.